GGAUAUCUUGUCAUAGCAACAGAAACUGGACUCAGACAGCUCCAGUGUCCUGUUUUAAUCAUUAAGUCCAUCAGAAGACUCAGUCCUGCCUGUCAGAGUCCGAUGCCCGAGAAAAGGAGAAUUGCUUACAACCAGGAGCCACAUCUUCCUCUUGCUGGGACAGAUCUCCCAAGUGAAUUGACUCUGAGGUCUGUUGUCAUAGCACCGGAUCAACCAGCACAACUCAGAGUGGCCUGAACACUGAGGUGAUAAACUCAAGAAGCAAGUGUGGUAGUAAAAAAUAAACUGGCC
This 291-nucleotide long non-coding RNA is filed under the name Fukomys damarensis (Damara mole-rat). Its description in RNAcentral is "lncRNA (ENSFDAG00000030650.1)". Lineage: Eukaryota; Metazoa; Chordata; Mammalia; Rodentia; Bathyergidae. The record is from RNAcentral.